GACGAACGCUGGCGGCGUGCUUAACACAUGCAAGUCGAACGGAAAGGCCCUGCUUUUGUGGGGUGCUCGAGUGGCGAACGGGUGAGUAACACGUGAGUAACCUGCCCUUGACUUUGGGAUAACUUCAGGAAACUGGGGCUAAUACCGGAUAGGAGCUCCUGCUGCAUGGUGGGGGUUGGAAAGUUUCGGCGGUUGGGGAUGGACUCGCGGCUUAUCAGCUUGUUGGUGGGGUAGUGGCUUACCAAGGCUUUGACGGGUAGCCGGCCUGAGAGGGUGACCGGCCACAUUGGGACUGAGAGACGGACCAGACUCCUACGGGAGGCAGUAGUGGGGAAUAUUGCACAAUGGGCGGAAGCCUGAUGCAGAAACGCCGCGUGCGGGAUGACGGCCUUCGGGUUGUAAACCGCUUUCGCCUGUGACGAAGCGUGAGUGACGGUAAUGGGUAAAGAAGCACCGGCUAACUACGUG
This 468-nucleotide ribosomal RNA is filed under the name uncultured bacterium. RNAcentral's name for it is "partial 16S ribosomal RNA". It matches the Rfam family "Bacterial small subunit ribosomal RNA", at positions 28 to 507 of the family's 1533-position model. The record is from RNAcentral.